Macaca mulatta (Rhesus monkey) is the source of this 875-nucleotide non-coding RNA. The record is from RefSeq and is a predicted model, not a curated record. NCBI's taxonomy places the organism in Eukaryota, Metazoa, Chordata, Mammalia, Primates, Cercopithecidae.
CGGCGCCCUCCUCCUCCUCCUCUGGGGGCGGCGGCGGUGGCGGCGACACGGCGCCGGGGGCUGGCUCUGGGGGCACGGGAGGCUGCGCCGGCGCGCCCUCUGCACCCUCCGAGACCCCUGCCGCUUCGCCCUGUGCCCCCUCGUCCAGGGCACCGCCCUCAGCCUCCUCCUCGGGGCUGUCGGUGAAAGGGUUCUCGCCCUGUGGGGAGGGGCGCGGACACUGAAGUGAGGGAGCACAGGCAGGGACUGAGGUGGGGACAAGCCCAGGCCAGGACCAGCGCCUCACCUUCAGGUAGCGCUCCAGCUUCUUGCUGAUGAGCUUGUUGUUGAGAAUACUGCGGGCCACCAUGAGCGAGGACUUCUUGGACUGCUCCAUCAUGAGCUGCGGGCAGGGCAGAAGGGGCUGGAGAGGCUGCUCUGAGUGCCCUACAAGUUCCCGCCCCGACCCUGCCAGUUUAGAGGGACGCCCCCCUGCCCCUCCACCCACGCUUCCACCCGCUUCCACCCGGAGCGCAGCCCCACCAACGGAGGGCCACUCUACAAGCAUGGAACCACAACCUAUCUGAUCUUUGUUCAAAUUCCUUCUCCUUCCACACCACACUUACUGUAGAAUUCCAAGAAUGAAGAAUUAUUCCCAGUCAUGCAAGGUUGAAGAGACACUUCUAUGCUGCUGGGAGGAUCAACUGUUUCCAUAUUUUUUGGAAAGCAGUUUGACAGAAUGUAUGAAAAGUAAAAAUCUGUUUCAUUAAUCCCUUCCCAGAACCUAUCCUAAAUUUAAGAAUUGGAAACAUACGUGCACACUGAUUGUAGUGGUGAAAAAUGGGAAAACACCUAAACGUUCCUCAGUGCAGAAAAGGUUAAAUAAAUUGUACAUU